This 755-nucleotide ribosomal RNA is filed under the name Phallus flavocostatus. RNAcentral's name for it is "partial 28S ribosomal RNA". It matches the Rfam family "Eukaryotic large subunit ribosomal RNA", at positions 132 to 863 of the family's 3401-position model. Lineage: Eukaryota; Fungi; Basidiomycota; Agaricomycetes; Phallales; Phallaceae. The record is from RNAcentral.
GGUCGUCCGAGUUGUAAUCUGGAGAAGCGUUUUCAGUGCCGGCCCGCGUACAAGUCCCCUGGAACGGGGCGUCGCAGAGGGUGAGAAUCCCGUCUCUGACGCGGUCACGCCGGCACGUUGCGAUGCGCUCUCGAAGAGUCGAGUUGUUUGGGAAUGCAGCUCAAAACGGGUGGUAAAUUCCAUCUAAAGCUAAAUACUGGCGAAAGACCGAUAGCGAACAAGUACCGUGAGGGAAAGAUGAAAAGCACUUUGGAAAGAGAGUCAAACAGUACGUGAAAUUGUUGAAAGGGAAACGCUUGAAGUCAGUCGCGUCUCUCGGGACUCAGUCGCGCCGUCAAAGGCGCGGCGUACUUCCCGGGUCUGGACGGGCCAGCGUCGAUUUCGACCGUCGUACAAAGGCGCGGGGAACGUGGCACCUUCGGGUGUGUUAUAGCCCCGCGUCCCGUAUGCGACGGUGGGGAUCGAGGAUUGCAGCGCGCCCGCAAGGGUCGGGGUUCGCCCACGUAACGCGCUUGGGAUGCUGGCUUAAUGGCUUUAAGCGACCCGUCUUGAAACACGGACCAAGGAGUCUAACAUGCUCGCGAGUGUUCGGGUGGAAAACCCGUGCGCGUAAUGAAAGUGAAAGGUUGGGACCCUUUAAGAGGGGGCACCGACGCCCGGACUUGAGCUGUUGCGACGGUUCCGAGGCGGAGCGCGUAUGUUGGGACCCGAAAGAUGGUGAACUAUGCCUGAGUAGGGCGAAGCCAGAGGAAACU